GACGAACGCUGGCGGCGUGCCUAAUACAUGCAAGUCCAGCGGACGAAUCGAAAGCUUGCUUUUGAUUCGUUAGCGGCGGACGGGUGAGUAACACGUGGGCAACCUGCCCUGUAGACGGGGAUAACACCGAGAAAUCGGUGCUAAUACCGGAUAACACGAAAUGUCGCAUGACGUUUCGUUGAAAGACGGCGCAAGCUGUCGCUACAGGAUGGGCCCGCGGCGCAUUAGCUAGUUGGUGAGGUAACGGCUCACCAAGGCGACGAUGCGUAGCCGACCUGAGAGGGUGAUCGGCCACACUGGGACUGAGACACGGCCCAGACUCCUACGGGAGGCAGCAGUAAGGAAUCUUCCGCAAUGGACGAAAGUCUGACGGAGCAACGCCGCGUGAGCGAAGAAGGCCUUCGGGUCGUAAAGCUCUGUUGUUAGGGAAGAACAAGUAACGCAGUAACUGGCGUUACCGUGACGGUACCUAACGAGAAAGCCACGGCUAACUACGUG
Molecule: ribosomal RNA, 498 nt
Filed under: uncultured bacterium
Lineage: Bacteria
Description: partial 16S ribosomal RNA
Rfam family: Bacterial small subunit ribosomal RNA
Source: RNAcentral